CUUCUUUUUUCUCUGAUGUUUUACUUUUUUUGUAAUUUUUUUUACCCUCUCUAACCCUCAUUGCCUCCUCCAUUGCCUUCGCGACCCUCUUGCCAUCGCCUUCUCCGCCGCCUCUACGGCCCUCAUCGCCUCCUCCGCGGCCCUCGGCCCUCUCCGACCCUCAAAUUAUGCAAACUAGUAUAAAACCCGCGCUUCGCUGCGGAGAAAUAAAAUUUUAAUUAAUUAAUAUUUAUUAUUUAAAUUUUAAAAUUUGAAAGGUAAAUUUAAAAACAUAAUACAUUCAAAAAAAUCAUUACCUUCUCAAUAAAAUUAAAAACAUAAUACAUUUGAAAAAAUCGUUAACUUCUCAAUAUCAAAAUAUUUAUCAACUCAAUAUUAAAAAUU
Molecule: long non-coding RNA, 384 nt
Filed under: Ananas comosus (pineapple)
Lineage: Eukaryota; Viridiplantae; Streptophyta; Magnoliopsida; Poales; Bromeliaceae
Description: long non-coding RNA (ACOM_LNC043247)
Source: RNAcentral